UGUUUCUUUUUUUGUAUUUUUUGUUAGAAGUGAGCACCCAUGAAAACAAAAAGAACGGAAUCAAUCGAUACCGUAAUCGCUUGUUUUCGAAUAGGAUAAAUAUGGGAGCGUGAGAUUACUGAUGGCACACAUACACUACUAGAAUUGAAGUAAUGAGCUGAAUUUUUGUAUGGUGAGAAGAUUUGGUGGGGCAAUGAGAGCGCAAGUCAGUCCAAAGCCGAUGAUAAGGAGGGGUAAUGGCAGAAUAGUCUUUGCUGACCACAUAAACGCCAUGCGAUAGGAAAAGGGUAUUUUGGUGUGGGAUUAGGGUGUUGGUACAGACUUGACAAUAUCAAUGCUACAUAUUCAGAUGCAAAAUAAUUUUAAGGCACAAUAGUGAAUCGCAUACCUUCCAAAACCAAAAAACAAUACUCCACAAAAUGCCAAGCAAGUCAAAGAAAGAAAAAGCGUCCGAUUGUUUAUUUUGACAAUUAUAACAGACGGACACUCCUACUCUCUCCAACUCGCCAGUUACCCCGGAAAAAAAUGUCCCUUCAGUUCUGGAAAAUAUAUUAUUCCCAAUUGAGCCUUUAAUCGAAUUGUCCGCGUGGUCUUGUAGUUUCUCUACUAGGUUAGAAUCAGUCAUUUCUAUACAUAUUAAAUGCUAGACAUAACCCGAUGGAUAGCAUUUGCCAAUGUAAAAGCUUUGCCUAUGUGACUUUCCUAUUAGGCAAUUCUCUCAUCUCAUGUUUGUCUUCAAAACCUUGUCAAGCUUAGAAAAUUAAUAUACAAUAAUUAAUAUACAAAACACUAUAAAGUUUGAAUUCCCAUAGAAUGA
Molecule: long non-coding RNA, 817 nt
Organism: Aedes albopictus (Asian tiger mosquito)
Lineage: Eukaryota; Metazoa; Arthropoda; Insecta; Diptera; Culicidae
Exons: 2
Source: RefSeq, a predicted model, not a curated record